This is a small nucleolar RNA of Rhododendron vialii, 76 nucleotides long. Lineage: Eukaryota; Viridiplantae; Streptophyta; Magnoliopsida; Ericales; Ericaceae. The record is from RefSeq and is a predicted model, not a curated record.
AUGAGGAGUGAUGAUGCUUAUCCACCUUUUCUGCAUUUGAAUGAUGAUAAAAACAUGCACUACCAUCUGACCUCAG